UGAGUAACACGUGAGUAACCUGCCCUUGACUCUGGGAUAAGCGUUGGAAACGACGUCUAAUACCGGAUACGAGCUAGGACCGCAUGGUCACUAGCUGGAAAGAAUUUUGGUCAAGGAUGGACUCGCGGCCUAUCAGCUAGUUGGUGAGGUAANGGCCCACCAAGGCGACGACGGGNNNNCNGCCUGAGAGGGUGACCGGCCACACUGGGACUGAGACACGGCCCAGACUCCUACGGGAGGCAGCAGUGGGGAAUAUUGCACAAUGGGCGCAAGCCUGAUGCAGCAACGCCGCGUGAGGGACGACGGCCUUCGGGUUGUAAACCUCUUUUAGCAGGGAAGAAGCGAAAGUGACGGUACCUGCAGAAAAAGCACCGUGCUAACUACGUGCCAGCAGCCGCGGUAAUACGUAGGGUGCAAGCGUUGUCCGGAAUUAUUGGGCGUAUAGAGCUCGUAGGCGGUUUGUCGCGUCUGCUGUGAAAAUCCGAGGCUCAACCUCGGACC
RNAcentral lists this ribosomal RNA (501 nucleotides) under uncultured Actinomycetes bacterium. RNAcentral describes it as "bacterial SSU rRNA". It matches the Rfam family "Bacterial small subunit ribosomal RNA", at positions 107 to 621 of the family's 1533-position model. Lineage: Bacteria; Bacillati; Actinomycetota; Actinomycetes. The record is from RNAcentral.